CGGCGGCGGCGUGCGGGGCGAGCCCUCGAGGAGCCCAGCCUGCGGCGGCGCCCUGGGCGCCUGGGGCAUCCCCGGGCCCGCCACCAGGGGUUCCCCGGGCCCGUUUCACAGAUGGGGACACGGAGGCUCCGAGGUCACAGAGAUAGGCCACGGUUUUCCAGGGAGGAAGGAGCCGACGCGAGAAUCCUUCCUGCCUACUAUCUUUUGCUCUGGCUGGAGGCGUGAAGGCGGGGUGGGAGGGUGAAGGCGCUGAACCCGGAGAAGCUCAGGGGUUGGUAGCUCCUGCCCCCCCGAGUCUCUAGUCCUCUCUGCUGCAGACGAGAAAAUAGAACAUCCCCUGGGUCCCCAGAGUUGACCUGCAUCAGUCACCACUGUCCCUGAAGCCCCCACCAUGGGCACCGGGCUGGAGGGAGGAAACAUGCAAAUCCCAAGAACUCCCGCCACCCCCAUGUCACCUGUUUCAGACCAGCCCUUUGUGCAGGGGAGCAGAACAGCCCAGCUGACUGCCUACCCGGAGAAUGCUUCCAAUCCCUGGCAGGAAAUGGCUGGCAAGGUGCCUCAAGAAAAACUCAAAGCGUUUAGGAAAGAUGAAAUAUGGGAGACCCUACCCCGGUCAAUCAGAACAAGAGCUAAGAGAGAAAUCAUGGAAAUGGGUAUAGCGAAGAUGCUCAGACAUGCCUAGAGGCUUUUAGCAAUGCGGAUUCCCCGGCACAGACCCGAUCACAGAUCCUGAGUAGGCGGAUGUGGAGCAUGGCCCAGGAAUGUGCAUUUGUUACAAGCGUGGCAACCCCCUGACUUCCGCAGUAGAACUGCAGAGACCUUCCCUGGAGCCUUUCCAUAGAAAUCUCUUCCAGGGCCUCACCCAGCCUGGAAGGUUCUGCCUGGGUCAAUUCUGCACAACCAGAAGGACCCCAGGCAUAAAGUUUGAGGAGUGACCACAGAAACUAGGGCCUGAUUACUAAUAGCUUCACAGGAACAGGGAGGGUCAGGCUCAAUUCCCCAAGGCCUUUCUACCCCAGGGCCUUUGCACUUCCUGUUUCCUCUCCCUAGAAAGUACUUCCACCAGAGAUCUCCUUCACCUCCUUUAGAUUUUACUCAAAUACCACCUCACUUAAAAUUCUUUAAAAAAAAACAAAAACAAAACCCAAUAGAGAAGAAGGAGCAACAAGACAAGAACAAAA
Felis catus (domestic cat) is the source of this 1181-nucleotide long non-coding RNA. RefSeq lists it as uncharacterized. The transcript has 2 exons. Lineage: Eukaryota; Metazoa; Chordata; Mammalia; Carnivora; Felidae. The record is from RefSeq and is a predicted model, not a curated record.